Molecule: non-coding RNA, 74 nt
Organism: Lithohypha guttulata
Lineage: Eukaryota; Fungi; Ascomycota; Eurotiomycetes; Chaetothyriales; Trichomeriaceae
Source: the annotation of a RefSeq genome assembly
GGGCACGUGGUCUAGGGGUAGUACGUUAAUUCUUCUUUUGUGAAAGGUCGCGGGUUCAAUUCCCGUCGUGUCGU